RNA transcript from Nymphaea colorata (pocket water lily), 1065 nucleotides. RefSeq lists it as uncharacterized. NCBI's taxonomy places the organism in Eukaryota, Viridiplantae, Streptophyta, Magnoliopsida, Nymphaeales, Nymphaeaceae. The transcript has 5 exons. The record is from RefSeq and is a predicted model, not a curated record.
ACUCAGUCUCUAUUCCACUCUCUUGGUAGCGAUGGAGAAAUCAUUUCUCAUUCUCUUCCUGCUUAUGCUCACUCUAAUUAAUUUCCUGCAUGUGACUCUAGGGGCACAUGCAGACAUCAACAUAGCAUGUGGGACAACUGAUCCUUUCGCUGAUUCGUAUGGGAAUUACUGGAUGGGGGACGAUCAGUUCAUCCAAUCAGGAUCGACUGCAACGGUUCAGAAUACGAGCCAAUAUUCUCAACUCCUGUCCACCGUCCGUUUCUUCGAUGAUCCAAACACGAAUUGCUACACAAUCCCUAUUCUGACUCAGACGAACAAAAUUGACGUCGUUGCCUUCUUCCUGUAUGGUAAUUACGACGACAAGGCACAGCCACCUUCCUUUAAGCUCCAAAUCGAUGACAGUGAGUGGGCAGACGUUGAGACUUCAAUGGAUGAUCUGGCAGCGUAUGGGAUGACCUAUUGGCCUGAGGGGAACAACGUCAGUGUAUGCCUUGCUCGGAACGAAACUGCAGGCGUGCCCUUCAUUUCUGCCAUACAAAUGAGCACAAAGGCUCCUUCCCCUGAUCCGAGCACGGAGGCUCCUUCCCCUGAUCAGAACACGGAUACCAGUCCGCCAAUAAUAGUGUUUAACAACAUAAUAUUGGCUCCUGCAAAGGCCAGCCCAAAUGCGAGCGAAAAUCCGAGCCCAAAUGCGAGCCCAAAGGAUAAGUUCGAAGAAUUCAUUAUUCUGGUCACUCUCCUCCCUAGCGGGACCUUCAUCACCCUUGUUGUCUCUGUCAUUGCUUGGAUGAAGAAAAGAAAGAAGAACAAGAAGGCUCAUAUAAACAGCAAUUCGGAUGUCGCAGGUGCUGCAAACCAGCAGAAGUCUGAGGUAGAGGAUAAAAGCAAAGAUGAAGUUUAGGGGACGGACAACUGAAGGUAGUUGCCUUCUAUACAAGCAAGUAUAACUGCUUGGGCCUUCAGAAGGUGAUUGCAAAUAGAAGGAAACAGUGAUGUGGAUGUUGUGCUCUCCUGAUAGUUUAUGAUGCCCAACUCAGUCUCAAUAUUUUAGGAAUUAGAUGUUGG